UUGGAGGGCAAGUCUGGUGCCAGCAGCCGCGGUAAUUCCAGCUCCAAUAGCGUAUAUUAAAGUUGUUGCAGUUAAAAAGCUYGUAGUUGAAUUUCGGGAUCAAUUUGUUGGUCGUGCCUCGGUACGUWCUGGCAUUAWUGGUUUCUACCUUCUGAAGAACCUUGAUGUCAUUAAUUUGGUGUCWUGGGGAAUCAGGACUGUUACUUUGAAAAAAUUAGAGUGUUUAAAGCAGGCAUACGCUUGAAUACAUUAGCAUGGAAUAAUGAAAUAGGACGUUUGAUUCUAUUUUGUUGGUUUCUAGGAUCGACGUAAUGASUAAUAGGGARGWUUGGGGGCAUUAGUAUUCAAUUGUCAGAGGUGAAAUUCUUGGAUUUAUUGAAGACUAACUACUGCGAAAGCAUUUGCCAAGGAUGUUUUCAUUAAUCAAGAACGAAAGUUAGGGGAUCGAAGACGAUCAGAUACCGUCGUAGUCUUAACCAUAAACUAUGCCGACUAGGGAUCGGAUGAUGUUAUUUUUAAUGACUCAUUCGGCGCCUUACGGGAAAC
This 546-nucleotide ribosomal RNA is filed under the name uncultured Glomeromycotina. Its description in RNAcentral is "SSU rRNA". It matches the Rfam family "Eukaryotic small subunit ribosomal RNA", at positions 550 to 1109 of the family's 1831-position model. Lineage: Eukaryota; Fungi; Glomeromycota. The record is from RNAcentral.